Transfer RNA from Tortispora caseinolytica NRRL Y-17796, 92 nucleotides. It matches the Rfam family "tRNA". From Rfam's summary of the family: Transfer RNA (tRNA) molecules are approximately 80 nucleotides in length. Their secondary structure includes four short double-helical elements and three loops (D, anti-codon, and T loops). NCBI's taxonomy places the organism in Eukaryota, Fungi, Ascomycota, Trigonopsidomycetes, Trigonopsidales, Trigonopsidaceae. The record is from Rfam.
GCGGUGAUAGCUCAGUUGGGAGAGCGUCAGACUGAAGUUUACUCAGUCACAUUGUUAUCUGAAGGUCCUGUGUUCAAUCCACAGUCAUCGCA